Non-coding RNA from Paramuricea clavata, 1531 nucleotides. Lineage: Eukaryota; Metazoa; Cnidaria; Anthozoa; Malacalcyonacea; Plexauridae. The record is from the annotation of a GenBank genome assembly.
CAGGCACACAUAAACUGGCCUGGAUCCUUGCAGAUGUUAUCAUGGCUGCAACCCUCACAAGUUCAGGUUGUUUGGCAAGGGCAGAGGGUUGGAAUGUUGGGAGCUUUACCAUUUAAUAACAGCAAAGCCAUAAAUUCAAGCCAAGUAUUUAUAUAUUGGUCUAUUGCACCAAUAAAGCUAAUACAAUCAUUGAAUCAUGAAAUGUAUUGUGAUUUUCAACAGUACAAAAUAGAAUCGAAAAAGCUCCUUUACUUAAUUUUUAUAUCCCAAUAAUUCAAGCUGCAAAACAUAAUUACUCAAAGACAACCCAAAAUAUGGUAUUAAAUUGCAAAUGGGCUAUUCCAUUUAAUAUCCGUACCCCCCCUGUCGAGGAUCCCUGGAAUUCUUCAGGGGUAAAGGGUUUUGAGCUUGGAAUUCUUCAGGGGUAAAGUGUUUUGAGCUUGGAAUUCUUCAGGGGUAAAGUGUUUUGAGGUUGGAAUUCUUCAGGGGUAAAGGGUUUUGAGCUUGGAAUUCUUCAGGGGUAAAGGGUUUUGAGCUUGGAAUUCUUCAGGGGUAAGGAGGUUUGAUUUGAAAUUUUUCAGAGCUUGGAAUUCUUCAGGGGUAAAGGGUUUUCAGCUUGGAAUUCUUCAGGGGUAAAAGGUUUUGAGCUUGGAAUUUUUCAGGGGUAAAGGGUUUUGAGCUUGGAAUUCUUCAGGGGUAAAGGGUUUUGAGCUUGGAAUUCUUCAGGGGUAAAAGGUUUUGAGCUUGGAAUUCUUCAGGGGUAAAGGGUUUUGAGCUUGGAAUUUUGGAAUUCUUCAGGGGUAAAAGGUUUUGAGCUUGGAAUUCUUCAGGGGUAAAGGGUUUUGAGCUUGGAAUUCUUCAGGGGUAAAAGGUUUUGAGCUUGGAAUUCUUCAGGGGUAUAACCAUAAAAAACAUGUAUCCUCGACAGGGGGUGUACGGAUAUUAAAUGGAAUAGCCCAAUGGAAAAUACAUUUACAUAUAGAAAAUGGCAAAACAUUUACAUAUAGAAAAUAUAUAUUCACUUUAAUACGAAGAACUAUCACGAUAUACUGUACAUGUAAGGUCCGUUUCAUGUGAAAAUGAAUUUCCUUAUUUCCUUGUUAUAUUCUUCCAACUUUCAAACGUAUUCUUUGGCCCAUAUUUCGUCAGUGUAGCUUUAAAUGCCAACAUUUUCAUGCUCGACGAAGCUAGAUGCCAUCUACGAAGGAGCACUUUCAAAUUUGAUUUUGAAGUGGUUUUGUACGUUUCACCUUCAAUUUUAUAUUCAGCGCAAUCGUAGGAACUUUUCUCAGUACCAGAGAACGAUUUUGAGCUUAAUAAACCGACUUUUCUUGCAAAAAUUCUCACUUUAGUAAGUUACAGCGUCAAAAUAUAAUACAAUUCAAUAGUGUUUGUUUACGCUCGCGUUCCUGAGUCCCAGGCCCCCAAGGACGACGGAUUUUUUUGAAAAUUGUCAUGUUUGAGCGUCAAUAUCUCGGAAAAUACUGAACCAAAUCAAAAAAGGUUGAAGAACUUACAAACUAACUUUUUG